AGGAUCAUUAUAAAUAUAUGGGAUGCUCAAUAUGAGUUCUCAACAAAACACUUUCAUGUGUAUCCUUCCAUGUUGCUUCCUCAGGCCAGUAGCCAUUGCUACCAGCCAGGCCGAUCUUCGGUCACUAGGUUGAGGUGCUUGGGGAAGGGUCAAUCAUGAAACUUUACAUUGACUUAUUGUCUGACAAGGCCAUGUGCCAUUAUAUUUAAAUAUUUUAAAACUUUCAACAACGGAUCUCUUGGCUCUCGCAUCGAUGAAGAACGCAGCGAAAUGCGAUAAGUAAUGUGAAUUGCAGAAUUCAGUGAAUCAUCGAAUCUUUGAACGCAUAUUGCGCCCUUUGGUAUUCCUUAGGGCAUGCCUGUUCGAGCGUCACUAACAACCAAUCACCUUAUAUGUGGUAUUGGCAGAUGUGGGUUGAGUACAAAGCUUAGCAGUGAUACUCUCCCACACUGUUGGAAUGAAUAGGCUAGAAAAGUAGAUCAUAGCAACAGACUUUCAGAGUAUUUUGAAAUGCUAAAUUAGUUUGAAGCUGGUCAGAAUCUAGGCCAUUUGACCCCCAUUCUGUGUAGAGCAGUAAGGUUGACCUCGGAUCAGGUAGGGAUACCCGCUGAACUUAAGCAUAUCAAUAAGCGGAGGAAAAGAAACCAACAGGGAUUGCCUUAGUAACGGCGAGUGAAGCGGCAAAAGCUC
Molecule: ribosomal RNA, 690 nt
Filed under: uncultured Tuberaceae
Lineage: Eukaryota; Fungi; Ascomycota; Pezizomycetes; Pezizales; Tuberaceae
Description: eukaryotic LSU rRNA
Rfam family: 5.8S ribosomal RNA (bases 219-372)
Source: RNAcentral